AUUGGUCUAUUUAAAAAGUUAAAUAUCUAAUAUACAGCCUAAGAGUUAAUUGGUUCCGACAAUUCAAAAAAUGGUGAAUGAAAAACAACAGAAAAUUGUACAGAAUUUUCCCAAAGAUUUGAUUCCACUUUGGCCAAAAAAAUUAAUUGGGAUUCGUGUCUGACUUGGGAUCUUUCCUCACAUCCUCUGUGCACUGUUUAUUUGCUCAUCGUCUCACCAAGAUGUCUAACUUUUAAGAGUCUGAAGAGGAUACUGAUCCAGAAAGAGACUCCACUGCUAGAAUGAAUGAGGUGUGCUGAAAGCCAGAGCAUAACAUGGCCAUUCCAAGACGGAACAACCAACUACCCACCCACCA
Molecule: long non-coding RNA, 355 nt
Filed under: Aotus nancymaae (Ma's night monkey)
Lineage: Eukaryota; Metazoa; Chordata; Mammalia; Primates; Aotidae
Description: lncRNA (ENSANAG00000039407.1)
Source: RNAcentral